GGCGGUUCUCGGGUGAUGCACCCCAGAAUCAAGCUCCCUCCUCUCAAGUUCCAGGGUGCAUCACCUGAGAACCGCC
Myotis brandtii (Brandt's bat) is the source of this 76-nucleotide non-coding RNA. The record is from Rfam. NCBI's taxonomy places the organism in Eukaryota, Metazoa, Chordata, Mammalia, Chiroptera, Vespertilionidae.